Molecule: small nucleolar RNA, 107 nt
Filed under: Dichanthelium oligosanthes
Lineage: Eukaryota; Viridiplantae; Streptophyta; Magnoliopsida; Poales; Poaceae
Description: Plant small nucleolar RNA R71
Rfam family: Plant small nucleolar RNA R71
About the family: R71 is a member of the C/D box family of snoRNAs containing the C (UGAUGA) and D (CUGA) box motifs. Multiple nearly identical copies of this snoRNA have been identified in Arabidopsis, and it is thought to function as a 2'-O-ribose methylation guide for 18S ribosomal RNA.
Source: Rfam by way of RNAcentral
AUCCUAUGGUGACGGCAAGCCAAAAGAUACUCUUGGAAGUGCUCCCACGCCUCGGGGAAUGACUCAUCUGAUGCCUGCUAGAAAUUGGUUAUCCUUCCACGAAGGGC